This 59-nucleotide non-coding RNA is filed under the name unclassified sequences. RNAcentral describes it as "Li+-I sequence". It matches the Rfam family "nhaA-I RNA". Rfam says of the family: Acidobacteria, Alphaproteobacteria, Betaproteobacteria and Gammaproteobacteria, Verrucomicrobia, cand. division NC10. The record is from Rfam by way of RNAcentral.
GGGUCCGCGGAUUUAUCGAGUCCGCGGAGGAGUUCUGCAAAUGGUCGGGCCGCCAUCUG